RNAcentral lists this ribosomal RNA (423 nucleotides) under Verrucomicrobiota bacterium. Its description in RNAcentral is "Verrucomicrobia bacterium partial 16S ribosomal RNA". It matches the Rfam family "Bacterial small subunit ribosomal RNA", at positions 355 to 776 of the family's 1533-position model. The record is from RNAcentral. Lineage: Bacteria; Pseudomonadati; Verrucomicrobiota.
UGAGGAAUAUUGGUCAAUGGACGCAAGUCUGAACCAGCCAAGUAGCGUGCAGGAUGACGGCCCUAUGGGUUGUAAACUGCUUUUAUAUGGGGAUAAAGUGGGGAACGUGUUCCCUUUUGCAGGUACCAUACGAAUAAGGACCGGCUAAUUACGUGCCAGCAGCCGCGGUAAUACGUAAGGUCCGAGCGUUGUCCGGAAUCAUUGGGCGUAAAGGGUACGUAGGCGGAUAAGCAAGUUAGAAGUGAAAUCCUAUAGCUCAACUAUAGUAAGCUUUUAAAACUGCUCAUCUUGAGGUAUGGAAGGGAAAGUGGAAUUCCUAGUGUAGCGGUGAAAUGCGCAGAUAUUAGGAGGAAUACCGGUGGCGAAGGCGACUUUCUGGCCAUAUACUGACGCUGAGGUACGAAAGCGUGGGUAGCAAACAGG